GACAUCCAGAGAACUUAGCAGAGAUGCUUUGGUGCCUUCGGGAACUCUGAGACAGGUGCUGCAUGGCUGUCGUCAGCUCGUGUUGUGAAAUGUUGGGUUAAGUCCGCAACGAGCGCAACCCUUUAUCCUUUGUUGCCAGCGAUUCGGUCGGGAACUCAAAGGAGACUGCCGGUGAUAAACCGGAGGAAGGUGGGGAUGACGUCAAGUCAUCAUGGCCCUUACGGCCAGGGCUACACACGUGCUACAAUGGCGCAUACAAAGAGAAGCGACCUCGCGAGAGCAAGCGGACCUCAUAAAGUGCGUCGUAGUCCGGAUUGGAGUCUGCAACUCGACUCCAUGAAGUCGGAAUCGCUAGUAAUCGUAGAUCAGAAUGCUACGGUGAAUACGUUCCCGGGCCUUGUACACACCGCCCGUCACACCAUGGGAGUGGGUUGCAAAAGAAGUAGGUAGUUUAACCUUCGGGAGGGCGCUUACCACUUUGUGAUUCAUGACUGGGGUGAAGUCGUAACAAGGUAAGCGUAGACGU
This 526-nucleotide ribosomal RNA is filed under the name uncultured bacterium. RNAcentral's name for it is "bacterial SSU rRNA". It matches the Rfam family "Bacterial small subunit ribosomal RNA", at positions 983 to 1509 of the family's 1533-position model. The record is from RNAcentral.